RNAcentral lists this ribosomal RNA (253 nucleotides) under uncultured bacterium. RNAcentral's name for it is "partial 16S ribosomal RNA". It matches the Rfam family "Bacterial small subunit ribosomal RNA", at positions 524 to 776 of the family's 1533-position model. The record is from RNAcentral.
UACGGGGGGAGCAAGCGUUGUUCGGAUUUACUGGGCGUAAAGGGCGCGUAGGCGGCCUGUGCAAGUCAGUUGUGAAAUCUCCGGGCUUAACUCGGAACGGUCAACUGAUACUGCUCGGCUAGAGUGCGGAAGGGGCAACUGGAAUUCUUGGUGUAGCGGUGAAAUGCGUAGAUAUCAAGAGGAACACCUGCGGCGAAGGCGGGUUGCUGGGCCGACACUGACGCUGAAGUGCGAAAGCUAGGGAGCGAACGGG